UCUGAACUCCUUAUGGGUCUGCUUUUUCUAUUGUCUCUUUGGUCAUAUCUUAUCUUCCUUUAUGACUGAUUAUGUCUUGAUAGGUGUCAGAUAUUAUAUAUUUAAAUAGAUAAUUUGAGGCUUUGAAUGCUGUUAUAUUCUUCUAGAGAGGGUGCACUUUGGCAUCUGGCCAGCAUCUAGGCUAGAAACACUAGCAAUUUCAGGUCACAUUAAUUCAGCCAAGGAUAGAUAGAUUAUUUGAAGCUGGGCUUAAGGCCCUGUGAGGGCUAAUCUAUUGGUUCACACUUACUUUCAGGUACCUGAUAGCUUAGGGUAUUUACUGGGAUCCCUCCUACUCAGCAGUCUCUGAAACCCGCAGUUGCUUGAUUUGUGGAGAACUCUAUUCAGCUUUUCAGUCUCUCAGCUUCCACUUUCAACAUUUGCAUCUGCCUCUGGGGAAAAGUGGUCCCAAACUCCAGGAUCAUCUCUGGGCCUCCGUUCUGUCUCACACCUGUUUUCUUCACUGAUUGGGUAUCUCUCUGAUGCCUCUAAAUGGAUGUAGUUAUAUUUCACUAGGCUUUCUAGUUGUUCUGAGUUUGAGAACCAUUUCCAGAAGCAAAACUCUAAGAAGUGACAUUUGGAUGAGAUCUGAAUGAUGAAGAAAUAGAAUUAUCAAAAUCCGGGGAAGAAUGUCCAAAGCAGGGGAAACAACAAGAAAAAUGUUUUGGAUUCUAGGAAGGAGGUGCACAGGAUGUGGAGAGACCAAGUUCCUGAGAGUGGCUGGGGAGAUGUCUCUGAGGAGGGGACAUUCACGACGCCAUGAGGGAAGGAAGCGCUGGAGCCAGCCAUGCGCAGUCUGGACAAGACAGCAUCAGGAAUGACAGUUCUGGAGGUCAGCAGUUCAAAAUCAGCCUCACUGGUUGAAAUCUAGGUGUGGGCAGAGCUGCAGGAGAGAACCGCUGCCUUGCUUGUCUAGCUUCUGGAGCUGUCUUCCCUGGCUCGUCGUCCUUUCCUCCAUCUCUACAGCCAGCAACAUAGCAUCUUGCUUCAGUUGUUACAUCACGUUUUUCUUUGGAAGUCAAAUCCCCCUCAGCCUCCCUCUUAUAAGGACUCGUGGUUACAUUAAGGACUCACCCACAUAAACCAGGAUAAUCUCCCCAACACCAAUAUCCUCAACAUAGUCACAUCUGCAAAAUCUCUUUUGCCAUAUGAGGUAACAUAUUCAUAGGGUCAUGGGAUUAAGAUAUGGACACUGCUAAAGUUUAGGUAUUUGCCUUCUCUAAAUCUCAUGUUGAAAUUCAAUCCCUAGUGUUGGAUG
Molecule: long non-coding RNA, 1297 nt
Organism: Cercocebus atys (sooty mangabey)
Lineage: Eukaryota; Metazoa; Chordata; Mammalia; Primates; Cercopithecidae
Exons: 3
Source: RefSeq, a predicted model, not a curated record